RNAcentral lists this ribosomal RNA (353 nucleotides) under uncultured Anaerolineae bacterium. RNAcentral describes it as "partial 16S ribosomal RNA". It matches the Rfam family "Bacterial small subunit ribosomal RNA", at positions 338 to 707 of the family's 1533-position model. The record is from RNAcentral. Lineage: Bacteria; Bacillati; Chloroflexota; Anaerolineae.
CCUACGGGAGGCAGCAGUAAGGAAUCUUGCGCAAUGGGCGAAAGCCUGACGCAGCGACGCCGCGUGGGCGAUGAAGGCCUUCGGGUUGUAAAGCCCUUUUCUGGGGGACGAGGAAGGACGGUACCCCAGGAAUAAGUCACGGCUAACUACGUGCCAGCAGCCGCGGUAAAACGUAGGUGGCAAGCGUUAUCCGGAAUCACUGGGCGUAAAGGGCGUCUAGGCGGACGGGUAAGUCGUGCGUGAAAGCUUCCGGCUCAACCGGGAGAGGCCAUUCGAUACUGCGGGGCUUGAGGUUGGAAGAGGGGUGUGGAAUUCCCGGUGUAGUGGUGGAAUGCGUAGAUAUCGGGAGGAAC